GUAGGUGGUUAGUAAAGUGAAUAGUGAAACCUGGUGGCUCAACCAUACAGACUAUUAUUCAAACUCACUAACUCGAGAGUGGUAGAGGUAACUGGAAUUUCUUGUGUAGGAGUGAAAUCCGUAGAUAUAAGAAGGAACACCAAUGGCGUAGGCAGGUUACUGGACCAUUUCUGACACUAAGGCACGAAAGCGUGGGGAGCGAACCGGAUUAGAUACCCGGGUAGUCCACGCCGUAAACUAUGGACGCUAGCUGUUGGAGGUAUCGACCCCUUCAGUAGCGAAGCUAACGCGUUAAGCAUCCCGCCUGAGGAGUACGGUCGCAAGACUAAAACAUAAAGGAAUUGACGGGGAUCAGCACAAGCGGUGGAUCGUGUUCUUUAAUUCGAUGAUAAACGAAGAACCUUACCAGGGUUUGACAUCCUUGGAAGCACUGUGAAAGCAGAGUGUGCCUUUGGAACCAAGUGACAGGUGUUGCAUGGCCGUCGUCAGCUCGUGUCGUGAGAUGUUUUGUUAAGUCCAUCAACGAGCGCAACCCUUGUGAAUAGUUGUAUUUUUCUAUUCAGACUGCUCUAGUAAUAGGGAGGAAGGAGGGGAUGAUGUCAGGUCAGUAUUACCCUUACACCCUGGGCUAGAAACACGAUACAAUGGCCGGUACAAUGCGCAGCGAAGUAGCAAUGUGGAGCAAAUCGCAUCAAAGCCGGUCCCAGUUCGGAUAAGAGGCUGAAACUCGCCUCUUUGAAGCCGGAAUCGCUAGUAAUCGCAGGUCAGCAAACUGCGGUGAAUACGUCACUGAUCUUGUACACACCGCCCGUCAAACCAUGAAAGUCACCAACACCCGAAGUCCGAUUCGUCGGCCUAAGGUGGGGGGGAUGAUUGGGGUU
RNAcentral lists this ribosomal RNA (881 nucleotides) under uncultured Candidatus Saccharibacteria bacterium. Its description in RNAcentral is "bacterial SSU rRNA". It matches the Rfam family "Bacterial small subunit ribosomal RNA", at positions 571 to 1482 of the family's 1533-position model. The record is from RNAcentral. Lineage: Bacteria; Candidatus Saccharimonadota.